UUGCUCCUUUGACGUUAGCGGCGGACGGGUGAGUAACACGUGGAUAACCUACCUAUAAGACUGGGAUAACUUCGGGAAACCGGAGCUAAUACCGGAUAAGAUUUUGAACCGCAUGGUUCAAUAGUGAAAGACGGCCUUGCUGUCACUUAUAGAUGGAUCCGCGCCGUAUUAGCUAGUUGGUAAGGUAACGGCUUACCAAGGCAACGAUACGUAGCCGACCUGAGAGGGUGAUCGGCCACACUGGAACUGAGACACGGUCCAGACUCCUACGGGAGGCAGCAGUAGGGAAUCUUCCGCAAUGGGCGAAAGCCUGACGGAGCAACGCCGCGUGAGUGAUGAAGGUCUUCGGAUCGUAAAACUCUGUUAUCAGGGAAGAACAAACGUGUAAGUAACUGUGCACGUCUUGACGGUACCUGAUCAGAAAACCACGGCUAACUACGUGCCAGCAGCCGCGGUAAUACGUAGGUGGCAAGCGUUAUCCGGAAUUAUUGGGCGUAAAGCGCGCGUAGGCGGUUUUUUAAGUCUGAUGUGAAAGCCCACGGCUCAACCGUGGAGGGUCAUUGGAAACUGGAAAACUUGAGUGCAGAAGAGGAAAGUGGAAUUCCAUGCGUAGCGGUGAAAUGCGCAGAGAUAUGGAGGAACACCAGUGGCGAAGGCGACUUUCUGGUCUGUAACUGACGCUGAUGU
This 687-nucleotide ribosomal RNA is filed under the name uncultured bacterium. Its description in RNAcentral is "bacterial SSU rRNA". It matches the Rfam family "Bacterial small subunit ribosomal RNA", at positions 80 to 752 of the family's 1533-position model. The record is from RNAcentral.